GAUUGAACGCUGGCGGCAGGCCUAACACAUGCAAGUCGAGCGGUAGCACAGAGAGCUUGCUCUCGGGUGACGAGCGGCGGACGGGUGAGUAAUGUCUGGGAAACUGCCUGAUGGAGGGGGAUAACUACUGGAAACGGUAGCUAAUACCGCAUAACGUCGCAAGACCAAAGUGGGGGACCUUCGGGCCUCAUGCCAUAAGAUGUGCCCAGAUGGGAUUAGCUAGUAGGUGGGGUAACGGCUCACCUAGGCGACGAUCCCUAGCUGGUCUGAGAGGAUGACCAGCCACACUGGAACUGAGACACGGUCCAGACUCCUACGGGAGGCAGCAGUGGGGAAUAUUGCACAAUGGGCGCAAGCCUGAUGCAGCCAUGCCGCGUGUGUGAAGAAGGCCUUCGGGUUGUAAAGCACUUUCAGCGGGGAGGAAGGCGGUGAGGUUAAUAACCUCAUCGAUUGACGUUACCCGCAGAAGAAGCACCGGCUAACUCCGUGCC
Molecule: ribosomal RNA, 491 nt
Filed under: Klebsiella sp. WBUK3
Lineage: Bacteria; Pseudomonadati; Pseudomonadota; Gammaproteobacteria; Enterobacterales; Enterobacteriaceae
Description: bacterial SSU rRNA
Rfam family: Bacterial small subunit ribosomal RNA
Source: RNAcentral